UAAGAGAAAAAAAAAAAGCUAGUAGAUGGAGAAGUAAGCUUGACUUGUUUUUGAGCCAUGGAUGUGUUUUUAUAAUGUUAGAAAAGAAGGUUACCGUUGAAAUGACCGUUGGAGGGUAAAUAGGAAACGAAUUUGAUAUUUUAAGGGCAAAUAAGAAAAGUAUUGGCUACAUGGAGGGCAUAAAAGAAAAGUAGGUUACGGUACGAGGGUAUAUUGGAAUGGGCAAAAUGGUAAUUUUGCAGGGAUAACGGCAACUGUUAGCACCUCACUGACGGAAUUUAACUGCAGGGGUAAAUUAGAAAGAACUUGGAACAUAAGAAGGGUAUUUUCAAUAUUAGCCUUCUAAGAUGGGUAAAUAAGAAAAUCGGGAACUUUUCAGGGGUAUAUAGGCAAUUGCCCUUUUUUUUAAUGAGAUCAAAUUUCUCUCUCUUCUUAACUGUGAUGAACUGCUGCUUUCUACCGAUUCCCCUUCCCUCCAUCUUAUCUGCCCCUCCAUCUCCUCUCUCUCAAUAUUUCUUUUUUUUUUUUUCCUUCUUUCGCCCGCUCGCCUCCCUCUCCCUCUCUCUCACGUCUGCCUGUUAGCCUUGUCGCGGUCCUCCUUUCCCCAUUCCCUUCCUCGCCUGCCACCUCUCCUCCCUCCUAGGCUUUGCGCCAACGCACGCCCUCCUCACCUCUCUUUGCUAACAACCCCUCCGCCUCUCCGCCUUACAUUCUGCAGAUUCCCAUCGUGUAGGAGGGGGAAAAGAAUGAACGGCCACAGCUCUCGCACUCAACAAUGAUUCCAUCCUCCAUGGGAGCCGCGCCACCGCCGCCGCCUUCUCAGUCCUCGAACAGAUUAAUUUUGGCAACUGGAUUCUCCUUUUCUC
RNAcentral lists this long non-coding RNA (866 nucleotides) under Ananas comosus (pineapple). Its description in RNAcentral is "long non-coding RNA (ACOM_LNC035202)". The record is from RNAcentral. Lineage: Eukaryota; Viridiplantae; Streptophyta; Magnoliopsida; Poales; Bromeliaceae.